This 132-nucleotide small RNA is filed under the name Salmonella enterica subsp. enterica serovar Senftenberg. RNAcentral describes it as "RtT sRNA". It matches the Rfam family "RtT RNA". Rfam says of the family: This family represents a bacterial cis-regulatory element known as RtT RNA. The exact function of RtT is unknown although it is thought that it may be involved in changing the cellular response in relation to amino acid starvation. The record is from RNAcentral. Lineage: Bacteria; Pseudomonadati; Pseudomonadota; Gammaproteobacteria; Enterobacterales; Enterobacteriaceae. RNAcentral also lists the same sequence under 6 other names.
UAUCUCUCCGUACGGGGAAGGAUGAGAAGCUUCGACUAAGGUUCGAUUCGAGCGAAAGCGAGAAAACGUUGCCAACGGCAACGACCCGAAGGGCGAAGCGCGCAGCGCUGAGUAAUCCUUCCCCCGUCAUCC